Molecule: ribosomal RNA, 301 nt
Filed under: uncultured bacterium
Lineage: Bacteria
Description: partial 16S ribosomal RNA
Rfam family: Bacterial small subunit ribosomal RNA
Source: RNAcentral
CAGUCGCCGCGGGAAUACGAAGGGUGCAAGCGUUAAUCGGAAUUACUGGGCGUAAAGCGUGCGUAGGCGGUGAGUUAAGUCUGCUGUGAAAUCCCCGGGCUCAACUUGGGAAUGGCAGUGGAUACUGGCUCGCUAGAGUGUGUCAGAGGAUGGUGGAAUUCCCGGUGUAGCGGUGAAAUGCGUAGAGAUCGGGAGGAACAUCAGUGGCGAAGGCGGCCAUCUGGGACAACACUGACGCUGAGGCACGAAAGCGUGGGGAGCAAACAGGAUUAGAUACCCGCGUAGUCCCUGUCUCUUAUAC